UUGAACGCUGGCGGCAGGCCUAACACAUGCAAGUCGAGCGGCAGCGCGGGGCAACCUGGCGGCGAGCGGCGGACGGGUGAGUAACGCGUAGGAAUCUACCCAGUAGCGGGGGAUAGCCCGGGGAAACUCGGAUUAAUACCGCAUACGCCCUAAGGGGGAAAGCAGGGGAUCGUAAGACCUUGCACUAUUGAAAGAGCCUGCGUUGGAUUAGCUAGUUGGUAGGGUAAAGGCCUACCAAGGCGACGAUCCAUAACUGGCCUGGGAGGAUGAUCAGUCACACCGGAACUGAGACACGGUCCGGACUCCUACGGGAGGCAGCAGUGGGGAAUAUUGGACAAUGGGGGCAACCCUGAUCCAGCCAUGCCGCGUGUGUGAAGAAGGCCUUCGGGUUGUAAAGCACUUUAAGUGGGGAGAAAGGUUCGGCAGCUAAUACCUGCCGGAAGUGAUGUUACCCACAGAAUAAGCACCGGCUAACUCUGUGCCAGCAGCCGCGGUAA
Molecule: ribosomal RNA, 497 nt
Filed under: uncultured bacterium
Lineage: Bacteria
Description: partial 16S ribosomal RNA
Rfam family: Bacterial small subunit ribosomal RNA
Source: RNAcentral